Long non-coding RNA from Leucoraja erinaceus (little skate), 313 nucleotides. RefSeq lists it as uncharacterized. The record is from RefSeq and is a predicted model, not a curated record. The transcript is spliced from 3 exons. Lineage: Eukaryota; Metazoa; Chordata; Chondrichthyes; Rajiformes; Rajidae.
GGUGGAUAUUUAUUACUAACGUUCGUGGCCCCUUUCCUUGGGUAGGGGUGUAAAUCAGUCAUUAAAAAAAAGACUGAUUUAAAAAAAAAGAUUGUCAAUCAGUCUUUUCUCAAGAGGGCAUAGAUUUAAGAAAUGAGUAUAGGACCAAGGAGAUGGUUUCUGCCGUGUUCCUGUUGACCUGAUAGGAAAUCUGCAUUGGAUCGAGGCUGUCUGGGAGGGUGGAAAACUAUUCUCAUUGGAUUUUUCGGCCAAAAUCCAGACAAAAUUACGAGAGCGCGCUUGAAAUUCGCCCCUGGAAGUAUCCCUGGAAAUG